This is a long non-coding RNA of Hyaena hyaena (striped hyena), 479 nucleotides long. RefSeq lists it as uncharacterized. The transcript has 2 exons. The record is from RefSeq and is a predicted model, not a curated record. Lineage: Eukaryota; Metazoa; Chordata; Mammalia; Carnivora; Hyaenidae.
GCUUCAGAUUCCGUGUCUCCCUCCCUUUCUCUGCCCCUCACCUGCACAAAAAAUAUUGCACAACUGUGAUUAAAGAAAAGGCUACAAUAAUACAGGUUCUCACAGAUCACCCAUGUAAAAAUUACCAGCAUGGAAUUGGAACAAGGGACUGGCAUUCCAAUCUGAAGAGAAGCUGCCAUCCAUGGAAGCAACUAGAGAAUGUGUGCAGGUAGAAGACAAAAGAAACCUUAAGAACAUCUGCUUUUGAGAGAUAUGUGAAAGCAGGAAAGCCAGCAAGGAAACCGGGUGGUUCCUUAUUGCAUUCUAAACGAAGCCUCUUAACACUUUAAACAUACUUAUCAGGGGUGCGCCUGAGUGACUCAGUUAAGUGUCUGACUAUUGAUUUCCGCUCAGGUCAUGAUCCAACGGUCGUGAAAUCGAGCCCUAAGUUGAGCUACACACUGAGCUUGGAGCCUGCUUAAGAUUCCCCCCAACCCGCC